AGUUAAACAAUUAAAAAAAAAACAUGUCUGUAGCCUAUCAGUUUAUAACCCUAACGAGUUCAGGUCCUAAUCCCUAGAUUCUAAGUCACUGAGCUGCUUUUGUGGAAACGUGGCACAUUUUUUGCCUUUUUGGGGGGUGAGGGUUAGUUGUAAGAAGAAAAGAGGAAGAAAGGAAAGAAGGAUGGAAUCGUGGAAGACACUGAAAAGGAAUCUACUACCUAGAAGGGACCCGGGGGUUAAUGUAGUCCUAUCCUCUAUGUAAAGAAUAUAUUCUUUCCACAACGUUCCUGGUGUGGUAGACUAUUAACCUGGUCGCACAGCGACUCUGGGUUUGGCUAGUAGGUCAUUAACAAGCAUAAUUCAAGCAAAGGCUUUGACAAGUCCUUGUAGAUGGGAAUGUUAUCCUUGGGAUCCAGCUGCCAUGUAAAAAGACCUGUGGAAAGACCAUAGAGAAAGGAGCCCCCGGUUUUCACCUGUGACUGCCAAGAUGCCAGCCAAGCACAACCACAUGAGACCCCAAGAGAAACCAGCAGAAGAAUCAUCCAGCGGAGCCUCAUUAUUUCACAAGAAAAAAUAAAAUGGUGGUUGUUAGGGAACGCCUGGGGGGCUCAGUCGGUUAAGCGUCUGACUUCAGCUCAGGUCAUGAUCUCACAGUUCGUGGGUUCAAGCCCCACGUCAGGCUCUGUGCUGACAGUUCAGAGCCUGGAGCCUGCUUUGGAUUGUGUCUCCCUCUCUCUCUGCCCCUCCCCCCCCCUUGUGCUCUCCCUCUCUCUCUCUCAACAAUGAACAUUAAAAAAGAAAAAAGAGAUCCACUAUCAAAUAUUUGUAUAAGCAAAUCUUAAGUCCCACCCCUUCCUAAGGCAAACAGUAACCUAGACCAGGGAGGGCAUAGACGGAGCACACAUCGUGCCCACACCCUUCCAGCCCAUAUGGCAGGCAUCAGUAAUUAACGACUGCACUGGGCUCAGUCCUGCUAAGCUUACAUAAAGCCCUAAAUCUUCAACCCAGGGUUCCAAGCUGCACAUCCAGUUUCUGAACCACGUUCUGUGCAACUUAUUUGGUUCCUCCCUUAAUAGUAGGGGAGUCCCAAUUUGGGGGACUAUCGGGAGACCCACUAGAGAUCUAUUUCCAUAAGGAGCAAAGGAGCCUCCUGGGAAAGAAUUUAUCCUAAGAGAAGAGAGAAGGGAGUCACGGAGGUUCGAUUUAAGGAUAAUGGCCCAGUGGGGGGGGGGGGGGGGGGGAUGUGGAUCCUGUCGCUCAGAAUGACCUCUGUCCAGCCCCACUGGACUGAUGGCUGAGCCCUUUUGUGUAGGAAGGCUACAAAAACCCCAGCAGCUUCACAACGGUGGUCAUGGGUCCUAAUGGUCUAAGAGAGCUGCCACUUUGGGGUCAGCAACUGCUGCCCCAGUGGGAAGAGACACUGUCUCCAGGUUGGACACCUAUGCUGGGUGUUAAGCGUGGAUAGGUGUUGGGCACGAGAGGCUUCGGCACAAAUAUGAGAGAGUACCAGCAGCGGGGACCUGGGUGGCGCCCCCAGCGCACCAGGCUUUGCCAGGCACCUCCUGUGGCUGCCGUACGCACCACUGGUGGUAACCAAAGACCUCAGUUCAGCAAGGCAGAACAGAGAGGCAGGCUGCUGUCAGGUGCCCUGCGGCCCCCAUGAACACAACGGGUCACCCGCUGGGAACCCCCAGAAGUACGCGGAAG
RNAcentral lists this long non-coding RNA (1707 nucleotides) under Felis catus (domestic cat). RNAcentral's name for it is "lncRNA (ENSFCAG00000053245.1)". The stretch from base 598 to 682 matches the Rfam family "tRNA". The record is from RNAcentral. Lineage: Eukaryota; Metazoa; Chordata; Mammalia; Carnivora; Felidae.